Molecule: ribosomal RNA, 513 nt
Filed under: uncultured bacterium
Lineage: Bacteria
Description: partial 16S ribosomal RNA
Rfam family: Bacterial small subunit ribosomal RNA
Source: RNAcentral
ACUCAAAUGAAUUGACGGGGACUCGCACAAGCGGUGGAUUAUGUGGUUUAAUUCGUAGGUAAACGAAGAACCUUACCCAGAUUUGAAACUGAAGAGAAAGCCCAAGAAACUGGGCCCUCGCAAGACUGUUCAGCAGGUGAUGCAUGGCCGUCGUCAGCUCGUGGUUUGAACUGUUCCCUUAAGUGGGCUAACGAGCGCAACCCUCGUCGUGUGUUACAAGUGUCACGCGAGACCGCCCCCGCCAAAGUUUUUAAGUACAACUUGAAAAUUUCGGCGGGGGAGGAAGGAGAGGAUGACGCCAGGUCAGCAUGUCCCUUUGAUAUCUGGGGCCACACACAUAAUACAAUGGCUACUACAAUAGGCUGCAAUGGAGCGAUCCGGAGCCAAUCCUAAAAGGUAGCCCUAGUUCGGAUAGGAGUCUGCAACUCGACUCCUUGAAGCUGGAAUCGCUAGUAAUCGCAGGUCAGCCAAACUGCGGUGAAUACGUUCUCGAGUCUUGCACACACCGCCCGU